Molecule: transfer RNA, 178 nt
Filed under: Equus caballus (horse)
Lineage: Eukaryota; Metazoa; Chordata; Mammalia; Perissodactyla; Equidae
Description: partial transfer RNA-Thr
Source: RNAcentral
AGUCCUUGGGAGGAACGUUUUCCCCCUUUUCUGGUUUACAAGACCAGGGUAAUGUGCGACGCAACCUACCCUGGUCUUGCUAUACCUGGCAUCUGGUUCACGCACAUCACCCUGGUGGUGGUUACCUAGGCAUCUGGUUUAAGCACAUAACCCGGGUUUUGGUAUAUCUGGCACUGUG